GGUCGGUUAGCCAACCGUGAAAUAAUUAUUGUGUCCCCACUAGCUGUGUAACACUUUUCAGUUUGUAGCUAUCUGGUACAUGAAGACUUCUUUUAGAAAUAUUCAUUUUGGGUAUGCAUAUAGUUACUUUUCAACUGCUUUCAAAUGUUUAUAGCGACUGUGGCUACAGCUCUCAAGACAUGUUGAUGCUGUGUUGUUAGCUUCAUGUUACACAUGCUAAUUUUUGAUACUCUAGCCCUAAAUAAUUUAGAAUAUGCCUGUUAAAUAUCUUUAGAAGAAAGUAACACAAAGCUAAUAUUCAGCAUAUUUUCACAUUUUCCCAGUUUCCUUCAAAUUGGCAAUGUUUGAUUAAUAUUUAUGUCACUUGGGAGUAGCAAUGCUUCAGAUGUAUUUUUGUCUGAAUUUUUGGCAAUAGACCGAUUCUGCUCCUAACAGGUGAAUCCAGAAGUCUAGUUCCUUCAUCUUCCACUGUUUGUGCCAGUGAGCAGUACUGCUGUACUACAAAAAAUGCUGUCAUUCUAUCUCACUGUGAAUGAGUAGUCUAAAUCCCCCAUCUACCAUGGAUUAGAACAUUCAUGUUGGUAAGAGUGAGACAACUCCUAUGUUUAGAAUAGAAAUUUUUUUGAAAGAAAUAUCAACAGGUGAGACUUUGAAAUAUAUUCUUCUAUAAAAGAAAUAAAAAAGAUUUCCUUUCUUAAUUUUAUAGUUUGAUGAUGAUUAUCUUAUAUGAAGAUGUGUUCUUGCUCUUUUGUGAGAUUAUUUAAAUUAUGUUUCCCCUUUUGAUUUUUUUUCCCACCAUAUUCGCUAAGUUCUCUAACUUACAUGAAAUUUGGCACUUUAGACUGUUCUUUUUCUCACAAAAAAUUUAAUAAAAUUCUGUGUAUGUACAAA
RNAcentral lists this long non-coding RNA (891 nucleotides) under Bos taurus (domestic cattle). Its description in RNAcentral is "long non-coding RNA NONBTAT001373". The record is from RNAcentral. Lineage: Eukaryota; Metazoa; Chordata; Mammalia; Artiodactyla; Bovidae.